GAAAUGUGAUAAUUAAUGUGAAUUGCAGAAUUCAGUGAAUCAUCGAGUCUUUGAACGCACAUUGCGCCCCCUGGUAUUCCGGGGGGCAUGCCUGUCCGAGCGUCAUUGCUGCCCUCAAGCACGGCUUGUGUGUUGGGCUUCCGUCCCUGGCAACGGGGACGGGCCCAAAAGGCAGUGGCGGCACCAUGUCUGGUCCUCGAGCGUAUGGGGCUUUGUCACCCGCUCCCGUAGGUCCAGCUGGCAGCUAGCCUCGCAACCAAUCUUUUUAACCAGGUUGACCUCGGAUCAGGUAGGGAUAUCCGCUGAACUUAAGC
RNAcentral lists this unclassified non-coding RNA (314 nucleotides) under plant metagenome. RNAcentral describes it as "partial contains 5.8S ribosomal RNA, internal transcribed spacer 2, and large subunit ribosomal RNA". The stretch from base 1 to 105 matches the Rfam family "5.8S ribosomal RNA", at positions 50 to 154 of the family's 154-position model. The record is from RNAcentral.